Molecule: small RNA, 57 nt
Filed under: Anolis carolinensis (green anole)
Lineage: Eukaryota; Metazoa; Chordata; Lepidosauria; Squamata; Anolidae
Source: RNAcentral
GGCGCUGGCGGUUGGUGCUCUUGGCUUCCAGGACGGGGUUCAAGUCCCUGCGGUGCC